GAUGAACGCUGGCGGCGUGCUUAACACAUGCAAGUCGAACGAAGCAUUUAAGACAGAUUACUUCGGUUUGAAGUCUUUUAUGACUGAGUGGCGGACGGGUGAGUAACGCGUGGGUAACCUGCCUCAUACAGGGGGAUAGCAGCUGGAAACGGCUGGUAAUACCGCAUAAGCGCACGGUAUCGCAUGAUACAGUGUGAAAAACUCCGGUGGUAUGAGAUGGACCCGCGUCUGAUUAGCUAGUUGGUGGGGUAACGGCCUACCAAGGCGACGAUCAGUAGCCGACCUGAGAGGGUGACCGGCCACAUUGGGACUGAGACACGGCCCAGACUCCUACGGGAGGCAGCAGUGGGGAAUAUUGCACAAUGGAGGAAACUCUGAUGCAGCGACGCCGCGUGAGUGAAGAAGUAGUUCGCUAUGUAAAGCUCUAUCAGCAGGGAAGAUAGUGACG
This 448-nucleotide ribosomal RNA is filed under the name uncultured bacterium. RNAcentral's name for it is "bacterial SSU rRNA". It matches the Rfam family "Bacterial small subunit ribosomal RNA", at positions 28 to 456 of the family's 1533-position model. The record is from RNAcentral.